GGGGCCUUAGCUCAGCUGGGAGAGCACCUGCUUUGCAAGCAGGGGGUCAUCGGUUCGAUCCCGAUAGGCUCCACCAG
RNAcentral lists this transfer RNA (77 nucleotides) under Sphingomonas sp. LCSAOTU17. Its description in RNAcentral is "tRNA-Ala". It matches the Rfam family "tRNA". Rfam says of the family: Transfer RNA (tRNA) molecules are approximately 80 nucleotides in length. Lineage: Bacteria; Pseudomonadati; Pseudomonadota; Alphaproteobacteria; Sphingomonadales; Sphingomonadaceae. The record is from RNAcentral.